This 253-nucleotide ribosomal RNA is filed under the name uncultured bacterium. Its description in RNAcentral is "partial 16S ribosomal RNA". It matches the Rfam family "Bacterial small subunit ribosomal RNA", at positions 524 to 776 of the family's 1533-position model. The record is from RNAcentral.
UACGUAGGGAGCAAGCGUUGUCCGGAAUCAUUGGGCGUAAAGCGCGCGUAGGCGGCCCGGUCAGUCCGUCGUGAAAGUCAAAGGCUCAACCUUUGAAUGUCGAUGGAUACUGCCGGGCUAGAGUACGGAAGAGGCGAGUGGAAUUCCUGGUGUAGCGGUGGAAUGCGCAGAUAUCAGGAGGAACACCAAUAGCGAAGGCAGCUCGCUGGGACGUUACUGACACUGAGGCGCGAAAGCGUGGGGAGCGAACAGG